GACGAACGCUGGCGGCGUGCCUAAUACAUGCAAGUCGAACGCACUCUCGUUUAGAUUGAAGGAGCUUGCUCCUGAUUGAUAAACAUUUGAGUGAGUGGCGGACGGGUGAGUAACACGUGGGUAACCUGCCCUAAAGUGGGGGAUAACAUUUGGAAACAGAUGCUAAUACCGCAUAAAACCUAACACCGCAUGGUGUAGGGUUGAAAGAUGGUUUCGGCUAUCACUUUAGGAUGGACCCGCGGUGCAUUAGUUAGUUGGUGAGGUAAAGGCUCACCAAGACCGUGAUGCAUAGCCGACCUGAGAGGGUAAUCGGCCACACUGGGACUGAGACACGGCCCAGACUCCUACGGGAGGCAGCAGUAGGGAAUCUUCCACAAUGGACGAAAGUCUGAUGGAGCAACGCCGCGUGAGUGAAGAAGGUUUUCGGAUCGUAAAACUCUAGUUGUUGGAGAAGAAUGUAUCUGAUAGUAACUGAUCAGGUAGUG
RNAcentral lists this ribosomal RNA (485 nucleotides) under uncultured bacterium. Its description in RNAcentral is "bacterial SSU rRNA". It matches the Rfam family "Bacterial small subunit ribosomal RNA", at positions 28 to 492 of the family's 1533-position model. The record is from RNAcentral.